AGUGAACGCUGGCGAUAGGCCUAACACAUGCAAGUCGAACGGCAGCACAGUAAGAGCUUGCUCUUACGGGUGGCGAGUGGCGGACGGGUGAGGAAUACAUCGGAAUCUACUUUUUCGUGGGGGAUAACGUAGGGAAACUUACGCUAAUACCGCAUACGACCUACGGGUGAAAGCAGGGGAUCUUCGGACCUUGCGCGAUUGAAUGAGCCGAUGUCGGAUUAGCUAGUAGGCGGGGUAAAGGCCCACCUAGGCGACGAUCCGUAGCUGGUCUGAGAGGAUGAUCAGCCACACUGGAACUGAGACACGGUCCAGACUCCUACGGGAGGCAGCAGUGGGGAAUAUUGGACAAUGGGCGCAAGCCUGAUCCAGCCAUGCCGCGUGUAUGAAGAAGGCCUUCGGGUUGUAAAGCCCUUUUGUUGGGAAGGAAGAGCAGCAGGUUAAUACCCCGCUGUUCUGACGUUACCCGAAGAAUAAGCACCGGCUAACUUCGUG
RNAcentral lists this ribosomal RNA (492 nucleotides) under uncultured bacterium. Its description in RNAcentral is "partial 16S ribosomal RNA". It matches the Rfam family "Bacterial small subunit ribosomal RNA", at positions 29 to 507 of the family's 1533-position model. The record is from RNAcentral.